GUCUUCCUGCGGAGUUUCGCGUGGAGGCCAGGGGAAGGCGAUGGGCGGGACUAAAGGAAUUCUGUCUCUAACAAUGGUAUUGGGAUGUUUAGCUGCUCAAGGUGAAGUCAUUUGAAAAAAAGAUUCAGUUACUCACAUAUUCCCAAUUCUGAAUUUGCUGAGAUUCCAGGAUGGAGAGAAUAUUUAAUUUACAUUUUUAGAGAGAACGCGCAAAUGUCUCAACUGUAACAGAGGCCUCCACUUCAGCUUGUGUUUCAAGGACACCAGGAGAACUAAGUUUAAUCCGUCCAGCCCCAGCAGCAUCCUCAGGACCAAGACCAAACAGGAUGAGUUUCUGAAAAGAAGACCUUACUGGAAUGCGUGCUAAGGUCUUAGUGCUCAGCACACACAGUAGGUUCUUUAAAGGCCUGUCUCUGUGAUCGGGGAAUUUGAAUUCUAGAGGUAAAGAGAGAGACAUGGAAUCCCAAGCAUUUCCACUUGCACUUGUGGCAAACAUAGGACCUAUGGGACCUCCUACAAGAAUCUCUGCUCUUGUCAGGGGUGAGUGGUGGGGUGGGUGAAGAUGUUAAAAAAGACUUCCUACAGGCAACCUCAGAAGUGAAUCUGGAAGGCUACAGAGGACAUGUAUAGCAGUCACCUUUACCAUCGCUGGAACAAAUACCCAACACUUGCCACACAACAGGACCGUAUGCUUGUGAGGCAGGCUUCGCUCUGCUGAGCAAAAUCCCUGACCCCUACUUGCAAUUUAAAGGAGGAAGAGCUGGAAGAAAGUCAGAUGAUUCAGGCAAGUGCAAGUGGUUCAGGGGAGGCUGAUGGAGUAGUAGAGGAUAUGAGUUUGGCCAGGCAGGAGGAGAUAGAGAUAGGCCUGGAAGAUUAUGCUAAGGAUUUGGAACUUUAUUCUGAAUUUAAUGGGGGAAGUAAAAUUGGAAAAAAUGUAACAUGUUCAAAUUAAUAUUUUAUUUCUGGCAGCAGCAAAGGGGGAAUGAGACUAUACAGUUAGGGAGGCCAAUUCCAAGCUUUCGAAGCCAACCAGAAUUAAUGAUUUAGUUUUAGGGACCUUCAUCCUAUGUACUUCCCCCCUUUUCUCCUUUGCUAAUAAUAGUUGCAUUGGUUGAAAACUUCUUUUCCUCCGUCUCUAUGUGCUGUAGUGCUACCGCCUAUUGUUUAAGGGCCAGCUUGAGUGAAUGAAUACAGGUACUGUGGGCCAAACAGAAGCAACUGUAUAGCUCUGGGUCUAUUUCUGAGAGUAACUGGGAGAAGAGUAUCUUGAUCAGUAGAGCAAUGUUCUAGAUACCUGGGACUAUAUAAAGUUACUCAGUGCUUAACUAUUUCUAUAUGCUUGACAUUAUGAAAUUCUGUGCUUACAAGGAUUAUCUGUUUAACUUGUACAACUACAGUAAUACAUUACUUGGUGAUGGGAAAUGUGUUAGGCAAUUCCAUUGUUGUAUGAACAUCAUAGAGUGGCCUUGCACAAUCCUGGAUCUAGUCUUUUGAUAUAAUCAAGCAACACAGCAAAUGAGAUGUGUGAGGAUGUUGCUUUCCUGAUAUGGCAUAUUGUUUUGUUUUAUAAUCAACUGAAAAAAAUUACAUAAGUAGGAAGAGUAAACUCUAAUACAGUGAUGAAGGUAUAUGGUAAAUACACAAGCCAGUAACAUAGUCAUAUAUUAUCAAGUUAUUGUAUACCAUACAUAAUUGCAUGUGCUAUACCUGUAUGUAACUGGCAGUCACUAGGUUUGUUUUUAGUAGCAU
Molecule: long non-coding RNA, 1749 nt
Organism: Fukomys damarensis (Damara mole-rat)
Lineage: Eukaryota; Metazoa; Chordata; Mammalia; Rodentia; Bathyergidae
Exons: 5
Source: RefSeq, a predicted model, not a curated record